CACGACAUCAUAAUAUUGCACCAAGUCUAUUCUCCAAAGAUAUAUUUCGUUGAUCUCCUUGUUAAAAUUGCAUACAAGUAAUAAUAUAGUUGUGUUUCUCUUUUGAUCAUGGGGGACUCUUCUGCUUCUUACAUACACAUGGUGCAGCAUCUUAUAGAGAAGUGUCUGAUAUUUAACAUGACAAAAGAGGAGUGCAUGGAAGCCCUUUCCAAACAUGCAAAUAUCGAACCUGUCAUCACCUCUACUGGUUUGUUUCCCUUUUACUCCAAUUCUCAAAUACUUGACUUUUCAAUAUCAUAUUAAUUAUUGAGGCAACAUAAGGGUUGACACUGGUUACUCCCUCAGUGAUAAAAUAUGAGUUAACUAGGCUUCAUAUAUAUUCCAUUUCACUUCUGUACACAUUCAUCACCCUAUUGAGAUUCACACGUGUAAUAUGAAUAGUAGGACUAUAGAUAAGCUGUUCUAAAAGAAGUUUGAGUUGAAAAAUCUACAGGUUUUGUAUAGGUUUGAGCUAGUUUUAGCUAUUUUAUGAAUGAUCUCUUACGAAUUAUGGGCAAGCCCUAGAUGAUAUUGAGUAACUGGGUUUCAUCUUCUUUGUCUCCUCCUUUUGGAUUAAUAAGGUUCCCUCUGUUUUCUAGUCAAUCACGACUACUCUUACGGUAAAUGAAAACAUGAUUGAACUUGACCUGUUUUGCCUCACAAUCUUAAAAAAAUUUCUCUGCAUAAUUAUAAGCUUUUCUAUAUAUAGUCUUAGCUUCAGUAGGUUGGUUUUAGUUACCCUUUUAAAUCUAAUAUCCAACUAUAAAACAAAGAUCAAAACUUGUUAUUUCCAUUUCACAGGCAAUCACUAAAGAAUUUGGUUAUCAAACAGUCUGAAAGGCAACUUUGAGCAGCUUUGGAUUGUCUUGCUUCUUUUUUCUCUUCCUUGCUAGCUCAGACUAACAGAAAUACGCACUGCAGGGAGUUGACACACACAGUUAUGCGAAUAUUGGUUUAUGUGAAGUGAUCACAUAACAUGAUUAUGAUUUGAUUAAAUGUGUAUAUAUGCAGUGUGGAAUGAAUUGGAGAAAGAGAACAAGGAAUUCUUCGAGGCAUAUGCUCAAUCCAAAAGCAAAGAUGAUCGGAUGUCCGAGGAGGAAACCAGUCAAAUGAUCCAGAAAAUGAUCUCGAAAUCCUCUAAAGAUACCGAUGACUAAAAAUUACGAUGAUGCUACGCGAAAAUGAUAUCCAUCUCUCUCUCCCUUCCUCUCUCUGUCUCUCUUGUGUUCUGGUUGGUAGUUUUGGCUUUCCCUUCCAAACCUAAUCCUGCCAAAAACACAAGAAAUUAGAUUUGAUGUCUCACUUGUACUUGUGGUCCUACAUAUGCAUAUAUGGUGAAUCCUAUGCAUGGUAAAAUAUUGAAUAUGUGGAUUUCAUCCAUGAAAACAGCUUGUAAAUCCUAUGACAUAUGCAUAUCAUGUUCCUAAUUAUUGGAAUAAAAAUCCCAUGUAACCAAUCACACAAUGACAUAUCAUUGUAUUAGCGAAACUUCAUGCAUUUCUCGUAAACUUUGAUGUAAUGAAACCAUUAUUAUCAGUGUGACAUGGUGAAUUUUGAUUGGAUGUGACAUUAUAGUUUACAUAAUUGAAUAGUUGGACGGGGAAGGUUCUCGAGGUUUAAGGUGGUGACACUGUACCUGGAAUCUAGAGGCUGCAUCAAAUAUUGUUGUCUAGUGAAUUCUUUUGGCUUUGGCUUUGGCUUACUUGGAAUGAAAUAUCAAGAGAAAGAACGUGUAUGUGAUGUUUGUUGAAGUAGUCUUUUCCUUCAGUUUAAUAAAAUGGAAG
Molecule: unclassified non-coding RNA, 1823 nt
Filed under: Hevea brasiliensis (rubber tree)
Lineage: Eukaryota; Viridiplantae; Streptophyta; Magnoliopsida; Malpighiales; Euphorbiaceae
Source: RNAcentral